Molecule: ribosomal RNA, 448 nt
Filed under: uncultured bacterium
Lineage: Bacteria
Description: bacterial SSU rRNA
Rfam family: Bacterial small subunit ribosomal RNA
Source: RNAcentral
AACGAACGCUGGCGGCAGGCCUAACACAUGCAAGUCGAGCGCCCCGCAAGGGGAGCGGCGGACGGGUGAGUAACGCGUGGGAACGUACCCCUUUCUACGGAAUAGCCUCGGGAAACUGGGAGUAAUACCGUAUAAGCCCUACGGGGGAAAGAUUUAUCGGGAAGGGAUCGGCCCGCGUUGGAUUAGGUAGUUGGUGGGGUAAUGGCCUACCAAGCCGACGAUCCAUAGCUGGUUUGAGAGGAUGAUCAGCCACACUGGGACUGAGACACGGCCCAGACUCCUACGGGAGGCAGCAGUGGGGAAUCUUAGACAAUGGGCGCAAGCCUGAUCUAGCCAUGCCGCGUGAGCGAUGAAGGCCUUAGGGUUGUAAAGCUCUUUCAGUGGGGAAGAUAAUGACUGUACCCACAGAAGAAGCCCCGGCUAACUCCGUGCCAGCAGCCGCGGUAAU